AGUGGAUGGGGAGCAACCUAGUUGUGCGUGUGUAAAGGUAGUGCCAAGAAAAGCGAUGAUCAUGUUGAAAAUCAAUUCCCGGUACCCGAAACCGACACAGGGGCAAGUAGAGAAUACUAAGGGGCGCGAGGUAACUCUCUCCAAGGAACUCGGCAAAAUGACCCCGUAACUUAGGGAGAAGGGGUGCCACCGAGAGGUGGUCGCAGUGAAGAGGCCCAGGCGACUGUUUAGCAAAAACAUAGGUCUCUGCAAACUCGAAAGAGGAGGUAUAGGGGCUGACGCCUGCCCAGUGCCGGAAGGUUAAAGAAGUUGGUCAGUUUUAGGAUGAAGCUAGCGACUGAAGCCCCGGUGAACGGCGGCCGUAACUAUAACGGUCCUAAGGUAGCGAAAUUCCUUGUCGGGUAAGUUCCGACCCGCACGAAAGGCGUAACGAUCUGGGCGCUGUCUCGGAGAGAGGCUCGGCGAAAUAGGAUUGUCUGUGAAGAUACGGACUACCUGCAUUUGGACAGAAAGACCCUAUGAAGCUUUACUAUAGCUUGGAAUUGUGUUCGGGCUUCCUGUGCGCAGGAUAGGUGGGAGGCGUAGAAGGUAUUCUUGUGGGGAUACUGGAGCCAACGGUGAGAUACCACUCUCAGGAGGCUAGAAUUCUAACUUAAUUAAGGACAGUUUCAGGUGGGUAGUUUGACUGGGGCGGUCGCCUCCAAAAAGGUAACGGAGGCGUACAAAGGUUCCCUCAGACUGGUUGGAAAUCAGUCGAAGAGUGCAAAGGCAGAAGGGAGCUUGACUGCGAGAAGUACAGUUCGAGCAGGGUGGAAACACGGUCUUAGUGAUCCGACGGUGCUGUGUGGAAGGGCCGUCGCUCAACGGAUAAAAGUUACUCUAAGGAUAACAGGCUGAUCUCCCCCAAGAGUUCACAUCGACGGGGAGGUUUGGCACCUCGAUGUCGGCUCAUCGCAACCUGGGGCGGAAGUACGUCCCAAGGGUUGGGCUGUUCGCCCAUUAAAGCGGUACGUGAGCUGGGUUCAGAACGUCGUGAGACAGUUCGGUCCAUAUCCGAUGUAGGCGUGAGAAUAUUGAGAGGAGCCUUCCUUAGUACGAGAGGACCGGGAAGGACGCACCGCUGGUGUACCUGUUAUGAUGCCAAUUGUAAACGCAGGGUAGCCAAGUGCGGAGAGGAUAACCGCUGAAAGCAUCUAAGUGGGAAGCCCACCUCAAGAUGAGUAUUCUGGUGUAAGGUCACGGGAAGACGACCCGUAAAUAGGCACGAGGUGGAAGUGCAGAGAUGUAUGAAGCCGAAGUGUACUAAUAGACCGUCGGCUUGACCU
Molecule: ribosomal RNA, 1325 nt
Filed under: metagenome
Description: bacterial LSU rRNA
Rfam family: Bacterial large subunit ribosomal RNA
Source: RNAcentral